UGGGGCGGCUUUUCGGGUUUCCUGCGGAGCCCAGCAACCGCCGCGGAGAGGAAACAGCUUCUAAGGACCCUCGAAAUCCCCCCCUCCGAGCUGGGCCGGAGGCGUCCGGAAAUUCUCCUCGCGUCUGCGUUCCACGGAAACGUUUCUGUGCCUGGCUACCGUCAAACUUCUGUCCGGAUCUUGCCGUUUGCUUCAGUGUUUUCUUGUCCGCCUUAGACACUUGAUUCAGAUGUAACCGGGCUUUCUUUGUAUCUCUGUGUCUAUUUCCCCGUCACGUGAAUAUUCAGUGUUGUUAAACACCCAACAGAAUCUCAGGAUAGAUUGUCCCUGGCAGAGAGGGCUUUACCCACGGAGCCCCUACAAGGUCAGCGGUGUGAAAAUGCAGUUGCUACGGCAUCCGCUAACUGGAGCCAGGAAGUUGUGGAGUUGCCGAGAGUCAAGAACCUUCCGUCCAGCCUCCAUCCACAACCCCUCGGGAAAUGCGAGCCACGAGGAAUGUACGCUAAGAGCCGCCCUGAGCUGCUAGAUGGAGCAGGACAGGCGUGAGUCCGCCAAGAACUUGCCUCCCACAACACCCGGAGCCGCUGUCGAGAGUCAGUCAUCUGUCGUCAUGCUGAAUCAACUUAAAUAUUGCCUCUUGGUUUUGUUUUGUUUUGUUUUUUAGCAAGUGUUUCAGAUGAUGAUUAAAUCAUUCUUAUAAUCUAAAAUUAUUUAAAAACACAAACAGGAAGAUAGAAGGAAAUUGCUAAAAUUAAUUAAUAAACUAUCAACACAGGAAA
Meriones unguiculatus (Mongolian gerbil) is the source of this 779-nucleotide long non-coding RNA. RefSeq lists it as uncharacterized. Lineage: Eukaryota; Metazoa; Chordata; Mammalia; Rodentia; Muridae. The transcript is spliced from 2 exons. The record is from RefSeq and is a predicted model, not a curated record.